This 458-nucleotide ribosomal RNA is filed under the name uncultured bacterium. RNAcentral's name for it is "partial 16S ribosomal RNA". It matches the Rfam family "Bacterial small subunit ribosomal RNA", at positions 28 to 507 of the family's 1533-position model. The record is from RNAcentral.
GAUCAACGCUGGCGGCGUGCAUGAGACAUGCAAGUCGAACGAAGGAUCGGGCUUGCUCGAUCCUUAGUGGCGGACGGCUGAGUAACGCGUAGGUGACCUACCCCGAAGUGUGGAAUAACUGCCCGAAAGGGUGGCUAAUACCGCAUGUGGUCGCACGUUCAUUCGUGCGAGUAAAGCCGCAAGGCGCUUCGGGAGGGGCCUGCGUCCGAUUAGCUCGUUGGUGGGGUAAUGGCUUACCAAGGCGACGAUCGGUAGGUGGUCUGAGAGGACGAUCACCCAGACUGGGACUGAGACACGGCCCAGACUCCUACGGGAGGCAGCAGUCGGGAAUUUUGCUCAAUGGGGGAAACCCUGAAGCAGCAACGCCGCGUGAGGGAUGAAGGCCUUCGGGUUGUAAACCUCUUUUGUCAGGGACGAUGAUGACGGUACCUGGCGAAUAAGCCACGGCUAACUACGUG